CUCUUUAACAGUGUAAAAAAAUCAGUAUGCAUGAAAUAGCAUUUCACCCCCCCUUUAAGUCUUUCGAACAAUUACAGCAUGAGUUUAAUAUUUCUCAAGUCCACUUUUUCGAUAUUUACAAAUGAGAAGUUACCUUAAUUCUAUUGACUAUUAUAAACAAGGUGGGAAAACGAAUGUGCUCGAUAGUAUUUUAUUAAAGACAGCUGCACUGAAAAGUAAAGCAAUUACAUAUAUUUAUGAUCAAGUUACAGCAAAUAAUAAAGGUUUAAUAAAUAUUAAACAAAGUUGGGAACUUGAUUUUGGUGUUAUACUGGAAGACCAGAUAUGGAGCAAAGUAUUAGAUCAUGCAAGACAAAUUACCAAAUCAAACAAAUCAUAUGAAGUACAAUAUAAAAUUAUUAACAAGUUGCAUGUGACUCCUUUAAUUCGAAGUAAAUAUGACGCAUGUACAAAAUUCUGUUUGAAGUGUAAAAGGGAAAACAGAACUUAUUUCCAUUUAAUAUGGACCUGUCCUUUAAUUGCUUCAUUCUGGUCUUCUGUUGUUCAGGAAAUUGAAAGAUCUUUUGGGAUUAAAGUGCCACUGGAUCCCAGAGUGUGUAUUCUUGGUGUAAACAAUUGUGUACUGGAAACAAAAACAAUAUCUAUAAUGCUUUAUGCUGCUUGCCUUUCCAUACUUCAUGUUUGGAUUAAAGAACACCUUCCUACUUUAACUCUGUGGCGUGAAAAACUUUUUUCACUGUUACCAUACGAAAGACUGCAUAAUGUACUGGAUGGAACCCUGGAUAUUUUUGUAAAUGAUUGGUUUUCCCUUAAAGAUUAUUUAGGAUGUGUUUGGCAAGCAAUAACAUGUAUUGAUUAAUAUGGAUUGUAUGUAUAAUAUGGAUUGAUGGUGUUUUUUUUUAUUAUUUUUUUUUAUUGUUGUUUUAACUAUGUUCUCUUGUUCUUUUUUUCUGUACAUGGUAAGAAAAUAUCAAAAUAAACAGUUAAAAAAAAAAAAAAAUCACAUUUCAAACAGAA
This 1017-nucleotide long non-coding RNA is filed under the name Carassius auratus (goldfish). Its description in RNAcentral is "lncRNA (ENSCARG00000007880.1)". The record is from RNAcentral. Lineage: Eukaryota; Metazoa; Chordata; Actinopteri; Cypriniformes; Cyprinidae.